GACGAACGCUGGCGGCGUGCUUAACACAUGCAAGUCGAACGGAAAGGCCCCUUUGGGGGUACUCGAGUGGCGAACGGGUGAGUAACACGUGAGUAACCUGCCCUUGCCUUCGGGAUAACUUCAGGAAACUGGGGCUAAUACCGGAUAGGAAUCCUUGCUGCAUGGUGGGGGCUGGUAAGCUUCGGCGGUUUUGGAUGGACUCGCGGCUUAUCAGCUUGUUGGUGGGGUAGUGGCUUACCAAGGCUUUGACGGGUAGCCGGCCUGAGAGGGCGACCGGCCACAUUGGGACUGAGAUACGGCCCAGACUCCUACGGGAGGCAGCAGUGGGGAAUAUUACACAAUGGGCGGAAGCCUGAUGCAGCAACGCCGCGUGCGGGAUGACGUCCUUCGGGUUGUAAACCGCUUUCAGCAGGGGCGAAGCUUGUGGUGACGGUACCUGCAGAAGAAGCACCGGCUAACUACGUG
This 465-nucleotide ribosomal RNA is filed under the name uncultured bacterium. RNAcentral describes it as "partial 16S ribosomal RNA". It matches the Rfam family "Bacterial small subunit ribosomal RNA", at positions 28 to 507 of the family's 1533-position model. The record is from RNAcentral.